UACUCGAGUGGCGAACGGGUGAGUAACACGUGGGUGAUCUGCCCUGCACUUCGGGAUAAGCUUGGGAAACUGGGUCUAAUACCGGAUAAUAACUGCCUUUAGUGUGGUGGUUGGAAAGUUUUUUCGGUGCAAGAUGAGCUCGCGGCCUAUCAGCUUGUUGGUGGGGUAAUGGCCUACCAAGGCGUCGACGGGUAGCCGGCCUGAGAGGGUGUACGGCCACAUUGGGACUGAGAUACGGCCCAG
Molecule: ribosomal RNA, 243 nt
Filed under: uncultured Actinomycetales bacterium
Lineage: Bacteria; Bacillati; Actinomycetota; Actinomycetes; Actinomycetales
Description: partial 16S ribosomal RNA
Rfam family: Bacterial small subunit ribosomal RNA
Source: RNAcentral